GGAUUAUAUAGUAGGUCUGCGAAUGGCUCAUUAAACCAGCAGGGAUCUACCCCCAUACGAUAGGGCGACCUAUCCAUUCGGAUAACUUCGCUAACUGCGUAGCUAAUACGUGUACGAACCAUCUGAGCUUCACUCCACACAGGGGUAACCACUCCCCUGUGGAAGCUAGGAUACACAGGCCCGACAUAAAAACCAACCUCCGUAAGGAGAGUCGCAUUGUUGAAUCAGGGUCUGCAUAGUAAUAGCGCACUUUAGGCGCGAAUGGGGACGACCUUCUGCCCUAUCAGCUUAGAUGGUAUGGUAGUGGCCUACCAUGGCGGUGACGGGUAACGGAGAAUCAGGGUUCGAUUCCGGAGAGGGAGCCUGAGAAACGGCUACCACAGUUAAGACUGGCAGCAGGCGCGUAAAUUACCCAAUGCCAACACUGGUGAGGUAGCAACGAAAAAUAGUAACUUCGGGUCACUCAGUGGCUCGAAGAUUGCAAUGGAUGAUAGCUAAAUCUCUCAAUGAGUAUCGAUUGGAGGGCAAGUCUGGUGCCAGCAGCCGCGGUAAUUCCAGCUCCAAAAGCGUAUACUAAUGCUGUUGCUGUUAAAAAGCUCGUAGUUGGAUUCAGGGUCGAAGGUCACUGGCAGCUGCUUGGCGGGUGGGCGUCAAACCCCACCUUGCCUUGUCAGGUUCAACUGCCAGUACACGCCUUCACUCUCUUUUUCUCGGAAACGAUUGGGCCGUCACGGGUGUCCUUCAUUGGUCACCUGCGGCGAUUCCGCAUUCAAUACAUGCUCCGCCCCGUCCGAGGUGCUACUGUGAACAAAACAGCGUGUCCAAAGCAACCAUAGUGUAUGGCUGAAUGAUAAAGCAUGGUACAGCAAAGUAUCGACCAUGGGUCUGACUUUUUGUUGGUUUUAAAAGAUUCAAUGGGUAAUCCUGGCUAGGACGGCCUCAGCUUUCCUACCUUCCUUCGGGUUGGGACGGAUCGUUGUGUACGCCUAGUCUGUCGGAAUUAAGAGGAAUGAUCGGGGUGGUAAGUAUUGUUCCGCUAGUGGUGAAAUACUUAGACCGGAGCAAGACUAUCUACAGCGAAGGCAUUCCGCCAGAAUGUUUUCAUUAAUCAAGAACGAGAGUCUGGGGAUCGAAGAUGAUUAGAUACCGUCGUAGUCCAGCACCGUAAACUAUGCCAGCUAGGAAUCGGGCACUUUGGUCAGUAUUGAGCCUCGCCCGGCACCGUAACUUCCCAAUUACGAGAAAUCAAAGCCUAUGGGUUCAGGGGGGAGUACAUUCGCAAGGCUGAAACUUAAAGGAAUUGACGGAAUGACACCACCAGGCGUGGGUUAUGCGGCUUAAUUUGACUCAACACGGGGAAACUUACCAGGUCAGGACAUAGUGAGGAUUGACAGAUUGAGAGCUCUUUCUUGAUUCUGUGGAUGGUGGUGCAUGGCCGUCUCUGGUUCGUGAGGUGACUUGUCUGCUUAAUUGCGAUAACGAACGAGAUCACUAGGUCUAUCUAGCCCAGGCCGUCGUAUAUAUGUAACUGGGUUUAGGGGGUUCUCUUCCUUUUUCCCGGUGAGACUGGUCUGAGUGGUAAUUAGUCCGACUGUUCAUGUUUACAAUGGACGGAAGAAGGUGCCAAUGGCAGGUCUGUGAUGCUCCUAGACGUCCUGGGCUGCACGCGCAACACACUGACUUAGCAAACGAGUUGCAUGGCUUCGGCCUCCUCAUUCGAAAGGAUAGGGAAAUCUUUGAAAACUAAGUCGUGCUUGGGAUAGAUGAUUGCAAUUAUUUGCCUUGAACGAGGAAUGCCUAGUAGAGGUAAUUCAUCAGAUUACCUUGAUUAUGUCCCUGCCAUUUGUACACACCGCCCGUCGUUGCUACCGAUUGGAUGAUACAUAGAGAUUUUAGGAGGACACUAUCGGCUUGCCGUUUCACUGCCCGAAUUUACUCAAUAUUUAUUAU
This 1950-nucleotide ribosomal RNA is filed under the name Keelungia pulex. Its description in RNAcentral is "partial 18S ribosomal RNA". It matches the Rfam family "Eukaryotic small subunit ribosomal RNA". Lineage: Eukaryota; Euglenozoa; Stavomonadea; Decastavida; Keelungiidae. The record is from RNAcentral.